Molecule: ribosomal RNA, 497 nt
Filed under: uncultured bacterium
Lineage: Bacteria
Description: partial 16S ribosomal RNA
Rfam family: Bacterial small subunit ribosomal RNA
Source: RNAcentral
GAUAAACGCUGGCGGCGUGCCUAAUACAUGCAAGUCGAGCGAACGGACGAGAAGCUUGCUUCUCUGAUGUUAGCGGCGGACGGGUGAGUAACACAUGGAUAACCUACCUAUAAGACUGGGAUAACUUCGGGAAACCGGAGCUAAUACCGGAUAAUAUUUUGAACCGCAUGGUUCAAAAGUGAAAGACGGUCUUGCUGUCACUUAUAGAUGGAUCCGCGCUGCAUUAGCUAGUUGGUAAGGUAACGGCUUACCAAGGCAACGAUGCAUAGCCGACCUGAGAGGGUGAUCGGCCACACUGGAACUGAGACACGGUCCAGACUCCUACGGGAGGCAGCAGUAGGGAAUCUUCCGCAAAGGGCGAAAGCCUGACGGAGCAACGCCGCGUGAGUGAUGAAGGUCUUCGGAUCGUAAAACUCUGUUAUUAGGGAAGAACAUAUGUGUAAGUAACUGUGCACAUCUUGACGGUACCUAAUCAGAAAGCCACGGCUAACUACGUG